GGCACUACGGUGCUGAAGCAACAAAUGCCCUGCUUCCAGGAAAAGCCUCUAAGCAUCAGGUAACAUCAAAUCGUACCCCAAACCGACACAGGUGGUCAGGUAGAGAAUACCAAGGCGCUUGAGAGAACUCGGGUGAAGGAACUAGGCAAAAUGGUGCCGUAACUUCGGGAGAAGGCACGCUGAUAUGUAGGUGAAGUCCCUCGCGGAUGGAGCUGAAAUCAGUCGAAGAUACCAGCUGGCUGCAACUGUUUAUUAAAAACACAGCACUGUGCAAACACGAAAGUGGACGUAUACGGUGUGACGCCUGCCCGGUGCCGGAAGGUUAAUUGAUGGGGUUAGCGCAAGCGAAGCUCUUGAUCGAAGCCCCGGUAAACGGCGGCCGUAACUAUAACGGUCCUAAGGUAGCGAAAUUCCUUGUCGGGUAAGUUCCGACCUGCACGAAUGGCGUAAUGAUGGCCAGGCUGUCUCCACCCGAGACUCAGUGAAAUUGAACUCGCUGUGAAGAUGCAGUGUACCCGCGGCAAGACGGAAAGACCCCGUGAACCUUUACUAUAGCUUGACACUGAACAUUGAGCCUUGAUGUGUAGGAUAGGUGGGAGGCUUUGAAGUGUGGACGCCAGUCUGCAUGGAGCCGACCUUGAAAUACCACCCUUUAAUGUUUGAUGUUCUAACGUUGACCCGUAAUCCGGGUUGCGGACAGUGUCUGGUGGGUAGUUUGACUGGGGCGGUCUCCUCCUAAAGAGUAACGGAGGAGCACGAAGGUUGGCUAAUCCUGGUCGGACAUCAGGAGGUUAGUGCAAUGGCAUAAGCCAGCUUGACUGCGAGCGUGACGGCGCGAGCAGGUGCGAAAGCAGGUCAUAGUGAUCCGGUGGUUCUGAAUGGAAGGGCCAUCGCUCAACGGAUAAAAGGUACUCCGGGGAUAACAGGCUGAUACCGCCCAAGAGUUCAUAUCGACGGCGGUGUUUGGCACCUCGAUGUCGGCUCAUCACAUCCUGGGGCUGAAGUAGGUCCCAAGGGUAUGGCUGUUCGCCAUUUAAAGUGGUACGCGAGCUGGGUUUAGAACGUCGUGAGACAGUUCGGUCCCUAUCUGCCGUGGGCGCUGGAGAACUGAGGGGGGCUGCUCCUAGUACGAGAGGACCGGAGUGGACGCAUCACUGGUGUUCGG
RNAcentral lists this ribosomal RNA (1165 nucleotides) under Escherichia coli. RNAcentral's name for it is "partial 23S ribosomal RNA". It matches the Rfam family "Bacterial large subunit ribosomal RNA", at positions 1573 to 2719 of the family's 2925-position model. The record is from RNAcentral. Lineage: Bacteria; Pseudomonadati; Pseudomonadota; Gammaproteobacteria; Enterobacterales; Enterobacteriaceae.